RNAcentral lists this ribosomal RNA (253 nucleotides) under uncultured bacterium. Its description in RNAcentral is "partial 16S ribosomal RNA". It matches the Rfam family "Bacterial small subunit ribosomal RNA", at positions 524 to 776 of the family's 1533-position model. The record is from RNAcentral.
UACGUAGGCAGCGAGCGUUGUUCGGAGUUACUGGGCGUAAAGAGUGCGUAGGCGGUUUUCUAAGUUUGGUGUGAAAUCUCCCGGCUUAACUGGGAGGGUGCGCCGAAGACUGGAAGGCUUGAGUAUGGGAGAGGUAAGCGGAAUUCCAGGUGUAGCGGUGAAAUGCGUAGAUAUCAGGAGGAACACCAAUGGCGAAGGCAGCUCGCUGGGACGUGACUGACGCUGAGACGCGAAAGCGUGGGGAGCAAACAGG